UCAGAGUUCAGUCAACACAGACAUUAAUCAAAUCAAUCUUUCGACACACACGCACGGAAAUACAAACACCAGCCCUACACGCUUCCUGUCACUUAUCCCGUCAGUCGCGCGUUCUGGCCCGCCGCCCGCUGCCAUUUAUUAAUGAGCUAAAGGACUCGGAUGGCAGACAGGCGUUAAACCGCAAUUUGCUCUCACUUUUCUCUGUGUUUACCUCUUUCUCUUCCUCUCCAUUUCCCUCAAGCAUUUCUUGGGCAGCAGGACAAAACGGGGGUGAAGGAAGAAGGGAUAGGCCAGUCUGACAGCUGAUAACUUCCACAUGUCUGUAAGGUUUUUGAAUCAAAAAAGCACCUCUUCUCCUUAAACCCUGACAAAAGCAACAGAGGAGAUAUAAAAGCCACGGACCUAUUUGAUCUGCGACCGAGCACCUGUCCAGAGGUUUCACCUUUGACUCCUUCACCCCGCCACGCCCCUCGUGUCAUCUCCCUACUUCUUUUAAAUAUUCAUUUCCACCUUGGAUGUGUUUGGGAGAGCUUCCUGCACCAGUCUCACAGGUUUCCCUGGGAAAGAUCUGUAGGAAGCAAAGUGGAUGGAGUUGCUGUGUGUCCUGGCGCCUGAAUGCAUCCAGAGAGUCGUUUAAAAUCCGACAAAGGGGCGGGUGUCUGCAUCACUCCGUUAGUUUGCCCUUCUCCAUCAGAUCGCUCUCAUUACCAGCAUUACUCCUUCUCUUGAUUCAAGUGGUUGUGCUUGUUCAGGACCUCGUCCAUGGGAUCUGUUGUUUGCUUUGACAUCUGGGGGAGAAUGUGGGGUCCUGGAGGGAGGCUCAGUUUUGCUGUUUAAACCUCUUUCUCUCACUGGUAAUAUGUCAGAUUUGUCAUGCAAUAACACCUGUAAUAAGUCUGAAUUACUACUUGCAUAUGCUGCACUAGUAAAGGACCUAUUGGCCUGUUGAUGAAA
Megalobrama amblycephala (Wuchang bream) is the source of this 954-nucleotide long non-coding RNA. RefSeq lists it as uncharacterized. Lineage: Eukaryota; Metazoa; Chordata; Actinopteri; Cypriniformes; Xenocyprididae. The transcript is spliced from 2 exons. The record is from RefSeq and is a predicted model, not a curated record.